RNAcentral lists this ribosomal RNA (303 nucleotides) under uncultured bacterium. RNAcentral describes it as "bacterial SSU rRNA". It matches the Rfam family "Bacterial small subunit ribosomal RNA", at positions 355 to 675 of the family's 1533-position model. The record is from RNAcentral.
UGGGGAAUAUUGCACAAUGGGGGGAACCCUGAUGCAGCAAUGCCGCGUGGGUGAAGAAGCACUCCGGUGCGUAAAGCCCUGUCAGCAGGGAAGAAAAUGACAGUACCUGGACAAGAAGCCCCGGCUAACUACGUGCCAGCAGCCGCGGUAAUACGUAGGGGGCAAGCGUUAUCCGGAUUUACUGGGUGUAAAGGGAGCGCAGGUGGCGUGGCAAGUCAGAUGUGAAAACCCGGGGCCCAACCCCGGGAGUGCAUUUGAAACUGCCAUGCUGGAGUGCCGGAGAGGUAAGCGGAAUUCCUAGUG